RNAcentral lists this ribosomal RNA (469 nucleotides) under uncultured bacterium. Its description in RNAcentral is "partial 16S ribosomal RNA". It matches the Rfam family "Bacterial small subunit ribosomal RNA", at positions 28 to 507 of the family's 1533-position model. The record is from RNAcentral.
GAUGAACGCUGGCGGCGUGCUUAACACAUGCGAGUCGAACGGUGAACCCGGAGCUUGCUCUGUGGGAUCAGUGGCGAACGGGUGAGUAACACGUGAGCAACCUGCCCCUGACUCUGGGAUAAGCGCUGGAAACGGCGUCUAAUACUGGAUAUGUGACGUGACCGCAUGGUCUGCGUUUGGAAAGAUUUUUCGGUUGGGGAUGGGCUCGCGGCCUAUCAGCUUGUUGGUGAGGUGAUGGCUCACCAAGGCGUCGACGGGUAGCCGGCCUGAGAGGGUGACCGGCCACACUGGGAAUGAGAAACGGCCCAGACUCCUACGGGAGGCAGCAGUGGGGAAUAUUGCACAAUGGGCGCAAGCCUGAUGCAGCAACGCCGCGUGAGGGAUGACGGCCUUCGGGUUGUAAACCUCUUUUAGCAGGGAAGAAGCGAAAGUGACGGUACCUGCAGAAAAAGCGACGGCUAACUACGUG